This 68-nucleotide transfer RNA is filed under the name Marmota monax (woodchuck). Its description in RNAcentral is "tRNA.Ala". The record is from RNAcentral. Lineage: Eukaryota; Metazoa; Chordata; Mammalia; Rodentia; Sciuridae.
GGAUUAUGGCUCAGUGGUAGAGCACUUGCCUUGCAUGUGUGAGGCAUUGGGUUCAAUUCUCAGCACCA